AUGAAACAAAUGCACCCGUUCGACAUAUGGAUCAAUCUAGAGAGAGAGAGAGAGAGAGAGAGAGAGAGAGAGAGAGAGAGAGAGAGAGAGAGAGAGAGAGAUGUUAGCCUGUCCUCGCCGAUGUUCAAUAGGGCCGUGCUCGGCAUCGCCAUUCACCAGACCUUCCCAUGGCGAAGGGCGACAUCCAGUGCUAGAUCAGUUGGAGAAGUAGCUAGAGGAGGGCACCAACAGAGGCGUUCAAGGGAAGAACUUGGCUGCUCCUGCUCGCCUAGAUCCAUCGUUCCUCCUUCUACUCUGUCGUGGGGACUGGAGGAGGCGGACAUUGGCCUGCUACCAGUGUGUCGUAGAGGGGCCCAGGGCAGAGGCAGCAGAGCUUGUACCGGCCGCCAUUCCACAUCAGGCGGGAGUAAGAUGUGUCAGAGACUGAAAUCAGAGGGGGAGAGGCUAGCCCAGGUUCCCACAUCGACGGCGUGA
This 474-nucleotide ribosomal RNA is filed under the name Triticum aestivum (bread wheat). RNAcentral's name for it is "partial small subunit ribosomal RNA". The record is from RNAcentral. Lineage: Eukaryota; Viridiplantae; Streptophyta; Magnoliopsida; Poales; Poaceae.